CCAAUCCUCUGUUGCUGCUCUGCC
Molecule: non-coding RNA, 24 nt
Filed under: Arabidopsis thaliana (thale cress)
Lineage: Eukaryota; Viridiplantae; Streptophyta; Magnoliopsida; Brassicales; Brassicaceae
Source: RNAcentral